RNAcentral lists this ribosomal RNA (538 nucleotides) under uncultured Geobacter sp. RNAcentral's name for it is "bacterial SSU rRNA". It matches the Rfam family "Bacterial small subunit ribosomal RNA", at positions 8 to 526 of the family's 1533-position model. RNAcentral also lists the same sequence under 1 other name. The record is from RNAcentral. Lineage: Bacteria; Pseudomonadati; Thermodesulfobacteriota; Desulfuromonadia; Geobacterales; Geobacteraceae.
AGAGUUUGAUCCUGGCUCAGAACGAACGCUGGCGGCGUGCCUAACACAUGCAAGUCGAACGGAAUGAAGGGGCUUGCUCUUUCAUAGUGGCGCACGGGUGAGUAACGCGUAGAUAAUCUGCCUGACGAUCUGGGAUAACACUUCGAAAGAGGUGCUAAUACCGGAUAAGCCCACGGGGUCUUUGGACUCUGCGGGAAAAGGGGGGGACCUUUUGGCCUUCUGUCGUCAGAUGAGUCUGCGUACCAUUAGCUAGUUGGUAGGGUAAUGGCCUACCAAGGCUACGAUGGUUAGCUGGUCUGAGAGGAUGAUMAGCCACACUGGAACUGAGACACGGUCCAGACUCCUACGGGAGGCAGCAGUGGGGAAUUUUGYGCAAUGGGGGAAACCCUGACGCAGCAACGCCGCGUGAGUGAUGAAGGCUUUCGGGUCGUAAAGCUCUGUCAGAGGGGAAGAAAUGAAACGUGCUAAUAUCACGUUUUCUUGACGGUACCCUCAAAGGAAGCACCGGCUAACUCCGUGCCAGCAGCCGCGGUAAUAC